Molecule: long non-coding RNA, 216 nt
Filed under: Nicotiana benthamiana
Lineage: Eukaryota; Viridiplantae; Streptophyta; Magnoliopsida; Solanales; Solanaceae
Description: long non-coding RNA (NBEN_LNC023002)
Source: RNAcentral
CGAUUUCCUCGCACCACAUCCGCUGCAGUCGGUAUGGAUUUCUCCGAUCCAAUGGAAUCAGUAAACUGUAACCGUCUUGCAGCAAUGUUGGAAGGAACUUCAGUCAUCGGCAAUGGCAAUUCACAGUUUUCUUCCUCUGCAUGCAUCACAUCGGUUGAUUGGAACUUCUGGGGCAGAAAGUUACCAAAUGUUAAUGGUUCAAGCUCUUUUGUAAUA